This 824-nucleotide ribosomal RNA is filed under the name Leptodactylus pentadactylus (smoky jungle frog). Its description in RNAcentral is "partial 16S ribosomal RNA". It matches the Rfam family "Bacterial large subunit ribosomal RNA", at positions 1395 to 2589 of the family's 2925-position model. The record is from RNAcentral. Lineage: Eukaryota; Metazoa; Chordata; Amphibia; Anura; Leptodactylidae.
CACCACAGUACCAAGCAAUUCUAUACAUAUAUAGAACUUUUUAUGUUAAAACUAGUAACAAGAAGAUACAACUUCUCUUCAAUGCAAGCAUACAUCAGACAGGACAAACCACUGAUAUUUAACAUACAUGAUUCUACAGUAGUAACACUACAAGAAAACCCUACUAAACCAAAUGUUAAUCUAACACCAGAGCAUUACAAGAAAGAUUAAAAGAAAGAGAAGGAACUCGGCAAAUUUUAACCCCGCCUGUUUACCAAAAACAUCGCCUCUUGCACACCUAUAAGAGGUCCAGCCUGCCCAGUGACUCUGUUCAACGGCCGCGGUAUCCUAACCGUGCGAAGGUAGCGUAAUCACUUGUUCUUUAAAUGAGGACUAGUAUGAAUGGCACCACGAAGGUUAUACUGUCUCCUCCAUCUAAUCAGUGAAACUAAUCUCCCCGUGAAGAAGCGGGGAUAAUUAUAUAAGACGAGAAGACCCUACGGAGCUUUAAACUAAGAAUCAUCUGCUUUACCCUCCUUCAAAUUUCAGAAGACUAACUUUUACCAAAGCACUCUGAUCUCUAGUCUUAGGUUGGGGUGACCACGGAGUAAAAACCAACCUCCGCAAUGAACCAGGAUCUUUCCUUAACCAAGGGCCACAGCCCUAAGAAUCAACACAUUGACAUCAAUUGACCCAAAAAUUUGAUCAAUGAACCAAGUUACCCCAGGGAUAACAGCGCAAUCCGCUUCAAGAGCCCCCAUCGACAAGUGGGUUUACGACCUCGAUGUUGGAUCAGGGUAUCCUAGUGGUGCAGCCGCUACUAACGGUUCGUUUGUUCAACGAUU